This 2003-nucleotide long non-coding RNA is filed under the name Marmota monax (woodchuck). The record is from RNAcentral. Lineage: Eukaryota; Metazoa; Chordata; Mammalia; Rodentia; Sciuridae.
GGAGACGGUCCUUCUAGAACUUAAGCAAGACCUGCCUCCUCAGUCCUGAGCCCCCCAGAGGGCCCCACUUGUGAAUCCUGUUGCUGCUCUUUCUCUGGAAACUUCCCUUUGGCCCUUUGGGACCAAGGUCUGCGGUUCCCCAGAGCUCGGAGCCUCACCCUUAAAUUUCCUGACUUCCUCAGAGGUUGUUGCUUUUCAUCUAAGAGACCUCUGCGCUUGUCCUCUCUCCCCUUGUCUUUUAUUUCCAUUUCCUCCCAGCGUGAGUCACGUCCCUGAGCUGGUAGCUACCUUCCAAUUACUUGUAGGUGAAUUCCAGGUCAUUUGUCUUUGGAGACUUACUCCCAAGCCACGAUCUGAGUUCUCCUCCCUCCGGGCCUUUGCAGAUCCUUCCACCCAGAAUGCCCUCUCUUCGAGCAUCUGUUCCUCUGUCCUUCCAGCUCCGUUCCUGCCUUCUCCAGGAAGCCUCUGAAGUCCCAGGGCUUGGAGGGAUUUUGACCUGUGUCUUCCUUCCUCUCUGAGGCCACGAGGUCUGUUACCUGUUUAUGAUACGGGUCGGGACCAGGCUGGGUCCUUCUCUAGGGCUGCCCAUCCUGGUCCCCAGCUUUGCUGAGCACAGGAGCAGCUGUCCAUCUCUGUGCCUCAGUUUCCUCAGCUGCUUCUGACUCCAUGAGGCAUGUGCGGAAGCAAAGGAUUUGGCUUCGUUCUCAGGCCUGAAGCCAUGAAAUGCCUGAACAUUGUGGGGAACAAAGAAAAUACCGUCUGUUCUGUUCAGAGAGUGACUUUUUCUUAUUACCAACAAAAUAUUUAAAAAAAAAUAAGUAUCUGGGAUAGGUGCUGGAAAGGCCAAGUUGUCUGGAAACUGCUCACAGUUUGCCAAGGACUGGGCUGGCUGCAGAGCUGGGGCCAUGUGGCUAUUCUAGGGGGGUGGUUGGGCAAGGGGCCCAGGCAGACUUUGCUCCUUAUGUGGGCAGAAACAAGAAUGUGAGAGAGAGUGCAGAGUUGAGUUGCUUCCCUGGACACCCCCCCUCUCAGGCCUCUGGGAGGUGUAAGGACAGGGCUGGCCUGGAGCAAACUCGACCUGAAGCUGUCUCAGCCAAGUGCAAGCCGAGGGAGUAGCUUCCUCAGUGUAGCCCUCAGUUUCCUAGCCUGGAGAACGGGCUGAUGGUCGCAGGGCUGGAGGUGGAGGGGAAGGGCAGGGAAUGUCCAGGCAGUAUCUGUCCCCUGGGUGUAGACAGGUAGGGGGCUGCCCAGAGCUCAGACUGAGCCCUCUUCUGCCUGGGACUUGAGGCCUCUCUUCCAGGAAUGGGAAUGUCCUUAAAGGGCAGGCAGUGGUCACCACCUGAAGGCAGCUGACUAGAUGUGACAGCUGGGGGCGCAGGAGUGGUGCCAGGGAAUGACCUUCGUAUUAUAGGAGGGACCAAGAAAGGACCAGGACAGCUCACUCGGCACUAGUGAAGCUGCAUCUGCAGUGGCAGCUACUUAGCCAGCUCUGUCUCUGCCUGGUUAAAUCUGACUCAGUCGUUGGACCAAAGCUAAAUUGCCUCUCCUUUCCCGAGGGUUCCUACCCAACAGAGUAGGAGAGGUCCAGUCACUCUUCCCCAAAGCUGUGUGUCCAGCCUCCUGGUGUGGGCCUCAGCCACCACCUCGGACCUGAUUACUUCACUUCUUACACGUUCAGUCCCAGCACCUAGAGCAAGCCUAGCCGGCAGCAGUGUCCAUAGGUGCUUUCAGAAAGUGGGUAUCCCUAGGCCCCAGCCUUGGACCUCCAUGGCCUCCAGAGUCACACGAGCCAGCCUUGCCUCUUACUAGCAGUGCAACUCUGAAGUCACUUUCCUCUCUGUGUGCCUCAGUUUCCCCACUUAUAAAUUGGGCAUUAUAUGUGGUGCCCAAUUCUGAGGUUUACAGUAAGGAUCCAAUGAAUUCUUAUGUAAAGAGAGCAUGACCUUAGGUGCUUAAUAAAUGCUUGCUGUUAUAAACAUUGGUGAUAUAUGGUUUUGAUCCUG